GAAUGGCAAGAAGAAAGGUGCUUGUCAUGUGUGUGGGGAUCCUGAUCAUUGGGCUCCUAGUUGCACUAAUCGCUAUGACAAGCGUAAUCCUGGGAAAGGCGGCAAGACCGCUAAUGUUGUCAUUGGAGACACUGACAUGAAGGAUGCUGGACCGCAGGGACUUCAACCGUGCUGAUGGGCAACGGUUCAAGUGCUUCUGUUCGUGGUGUUGGCACGGUCGUUCUGAAGUUUACUUCGGGGAAGAUCGUGCGGCUGAAGAACGUGCAUUAUGUCCCCUCCGUCAAUAAAAAUC
RNAcentral lists this ribosomal RNA (292 nucleotides) under Triticum aestivum (bread wheat). RNAcentral describes it as "partial small subunit ribosomal RNA". The record is from RNAcentral. Lineage: Eukaryota; Viridiplantae; Streptophyta; Magnoliopsida; Poales; Poaceae.